GAUCAUGGCUCAGGACGAACGCUGGCGGCAUGCUUAACACAUGCAAGUCGAACGGACUGAUUCCCUUCGGGGAUGAAAGUUAGUGGCGAACGGGUGAGUAAUGUAUGAGCAACCUGCCUCUGUCAACGGGAUAACAGUUGGAAGCGACUGAUAAUACGGUAUAUGACCACGGCACCGCAUGGUGCUGCGGUAAAAGAUUUUAUCGGACAGAGAUGGGCUCAUAUCCCA
Molecule: ribosomal RNA, 228 nt
Filed under: uncultured bacterium
Lineage: Bacteria
Description: partial 16S ribosomal RNA
Rfam family: Bacterial small subunit ribosomal RNA
Source: RNAcentral